RNAcentral lists this ribosomal RNA (1358 nucleotides) under metagenome. RNAcentral describes it as "bacterial LSU rRNA". It matches the Rfam family "Bacterial large subunit ribosomal RNA", at positions 1570 to 2925 of the family's 2925-position model. The record is from RNAcentral.
CAGUGAAAAAUAGUAACGAAGUCCUUGAUCCUCCGCUGCCAAGAAAAGCUGCUAAGGAAUAUAGAGGUGCCCGUACCGCAAACCGACACAGGUAGACAGGUAGAGAAUACUAAGGCGCGCGAGAUAACUCUUGUUAAGGAACUCUGCAAAAUGAACCCGUAACUUCGGGAGAAGGGUUGCUCUCUAGCGUGAGUAUGAGCAAUACAGAGCGCAGGAGAGUCGCAGUGAAAAGGUCCAGGCGACUGUUUAGCAAAAACACAGGUCAUUGCAAAAUCGCAAGAUGAAGUAUAAUGGCUGACGCCUGCCCGGUGCUGGAAGGUUAAGGGGAAGAGUGCAAGCUUUGAACCGAAGCCCCAGUAAACGGCGGCCGUAACGAUAACGGUCCUAAGGUAGCGAAAUUCCUUGUCGGGUAAGUUCCGACCCGCACGAAAAGCGAAACGAUCUGGACGCUGUCUCAACAAGGGACUCGGUGAAAUUGAAAUUCCGGUAAAGAUGCCGGAUACCUGCGAUAGGACAGAAAGACCCCAUGGAGCUUUACUGUAGCCUGAUAUUGGGUUUCGGAUAUUCAUGUACAGGAUAGGUGGGAGACUAAGAAGCAUGGACGCCAGUUUGUGCGGAGUCACUGGUGGGAUACCACCCUUAAAUGUUUGGAAUUCUAACAAGGAGUCUUGAAGCAGAUUAUUGGACAGUGUCAGGUGGGCAGUUUGACUGGGGCGGUCGCCUCCCAAAAGGUAACGGAGGCGCUCAAAGGUUCCCUCAGAACGGAUGGAAAUCGUUCGCAGAGUGCAAAGGCAGAAGGGAGCUUGACUGCGAGAGCCACAACUCGAGCAGAUAGGAAACUAGGACUUAGUGAUCCGGCGGUCGCGAGUGGAAGUGCCGUCGCUCAACGGAUAAAAGCUACCCUGGGGAUAACAGGCUUAUCUCCCCCAAGAGUUCACAUCGACGGGGAGGUUUGGCACCUCGAUGUCGGCUCAUCGCAUCCUGGGGCUGAAGUAGGUCCCAAGGGUUGGGCUGUUAGCCCAUUAAAGCGGUACGCGAGCUGGGUUCAGAACGUCGUGAGACAGUUCGGUCCCUAUCCAUCGCGGGCGUAGGAAAUUUGAAGGGAGCUGACCCUAGUACGAGAGGACCGGGUUGGACAGACCGCUGGUGAACCAGUUGUUCUGCCAAGAGCAUAGCUGGGUAGCUAAGUCUGGAAAAGAUAAACGCUGAAAGCAUCUAAGCGUGAAGCGAACCUUAAGAUGAGAUUUCCCACAACGAAAGUUGAUAAGACACCAGAGAGAAUAACUGGUAGAUAGGUCAGGAGUGUAAGUGUGGUGACACAUUGAGCGGACUGAUACUAAUAAGUCGAAGACUUAGCC